Molecule: ribosomal RNA, 389 nt
Filed under: uncultured bacterium
Lineage: Bacteria
Description: bacterial SSU rRNA
Rfam family: Bacterial small subunit ribosomal RNA
Source: RNAcentral
AGUUUGAUCUUGGCUCAGAACGAACGCUGGCGGCAGGCUUAACACAUGCAAGUCGAACGCGUGUAGCAAUACACGAGUGGCGCACGGGUGAGUAACGCGUGGAUAUCUGCCUUUUGGUUCGGAAUAACCCCGGGAAACUGGGGCUAAUACCGGAUGGUUCCUACGGGAUAAAGAUUUAUCGCCAAAAGAUGAGUCCGCGUACGAUUAGCUAGUUGGUGAGGUAAUGGCUCACCAAGGCGACGAUCGUUAGCUGGUCUGAGAGGACGAUCAGCCACACUGGGACUGAGACACGGCCCAGACUCCUACGGGAGGCAGCAGUGGGGAAUAUUGGACAAUGGGGGCAACCCUGAUCCAGCCAUGCCGCGUGAGUGAUGAAGGCCUUCGGUUGU